UUAAUUGAAGAGUUUGAUCAUGGCUCAGAUUGAACGCUGGCGGCAGGCCUAACACAUGCAAGUCGAGCGGCAGCACAAAGGAACUUGUUCCUUGGGUGGCGAGCGGCGGACGGGUGAGUAAUGCCUGGGAAAUUGCCCGGUAGAGGGGGAUAACCAUUGGAAACGAUGGCUAAUACCGCAUAACCUCGCAAGAGCAAAGCAGGGGAC
RNAcentral lists this ribosomal RNA (207 nucleotides) under Vibrio cholerae. RNAcentral's name for it is "partial 16S ribosomal RNA". It matches the Rfam family "Bacterial small subunit ribosomal RNA", at positions 1 to 214 of the family's 1533-position model. The record is from RNAcentral. Lineage: Bacteria; Pseudomonadati; Pseudomonadota; Gammaproteobacteria; Vibrionales; Vibrionaceae.